This is an RNA transcript of Vigna angularis (adzuki bean), 2350 nucleotides long. It is a transcript of the gene named protein DETOXIFICATION 45, chloroplastic, with no coding region annotated. The record is from RefSeq and is a predicted model, not a curated record. Lineage: Eukaryota; Viridiplantae; Streptophyta; Magnoliopsida; Fabales; Fabaceae. The transcript has 17 exons.
CUUGAAACAAGUGCACAGAGAGAAUGUGAGUAUGUGACUGUUGUGUAGUGGAAAGGCUAUCCGCAGACUGCAGCGGUGAGAUAGAGAGAGAGAGAGGUUAACUGGCGGCGUUUCCGAUACAUUCUGUGGGUUGCGUUGCAGUUGCAGUUACCGGCGGCGACGGCCAUGGAAGCCACCCAUUUCACUUCCUCUUCUUUUGUCUCUCAACACCAUGGCUCUACCAGAAGAAGACCCUUCGUAUUCAACCGCAACCAUAUCUGUUACGGUUAUUGCCCUCGCUUUCUGCGCCAAGCGCAAAGCCUCUCAUCGCCUCUCAUAACCCUUCGCGCCAAACACUCUUCCCUCACCUCCGAACAACAACACCAGCAAAACGCCGACGAGGAUCAUCAGCUCCACCCCAACCCCUCCGUUAAGUUGCCGCUCGAUCAAAAUGGAAAACUCCCGGAUGUGGAUGUCAAACGAGAGCUUCUAUUGUUGUCUCUGCCUGCCCUUGCCGGUCAGGCGAUUGACCCCUUGUCGCAGUUGAUGGAAACCGCCUACAUUGGUCGACUCGGCACUGUCGAAUUGGCUUCUGCGGGCGUUUCCGUAUCCAUCUUUAACAUCAUUUCUAAGCUUUUUAACAUUCCCCUUCUCAGCGUUGCCACUUCCUUUGUUGCCGAGGACAUGGCCAAGGCUGCCUCUACUCAGCAUUCUGAUUCAGAUCAGGGUGCUACAGAAAAUACUGGCAAUGGUAAACCUUUCAAAGCAGUUCCCCAGAGAAAACAGCUAUCCUCUGUCUCCACUGCUUUGCUUUUAGCACUCGGCCUUGGCAUUUUUGAGGCUUUGGCUUUGUCCCUGGGAUCUGGAGCAUUUCUAAAUUUAAUCGGUGUAUCAACGCAAAAUCCAACUUAUGCUCCUGCACGGCACUUUCUCUCUUUAAGAGCUGUUGGUGCUCCUGCAGUUGUACUUUCUUUGGCUCUUCAAGGCAUUUUCCGUGGUUUUAAGGAUACGAAAACUCCUGUUAUAUGUCUAGGCAUUGGCAACUUUUCAUCUGUCUUCUUAUUUCCCUUACUCAUGUAUUACUUUCGGUUGGGUGUAACUGGUGCAGCCAUUUCCACUGUUAUUUCUCAAUAUAUUGGGGCCAUUCUGAUGAUCUGGUGUCUGAAUGAACGAGCCGAGUUACUACCUCCAAGGAUGGGAAACCUGCAAUUUGGCAGUUAUAUUAAAUCUGGUGGUUACCUUCUUGGAAGAACACUUGCUGUUCUUUCAACCAUUACAUUGGGGACAUCAAUGGCUGCUCGACAUGGUCCAGUAGCUAUGGCUGCACAUCAGAUAUGUAUGCAAGUGUGGUUGGCUGUUUCCCUUCUUACAGAUGCCUUGGCUGCAUCUGGUCAGGCCCUUGUUGCAAGUUCUGUAUCCAGACAUGAAUACAAAGUUGUGAAGGAGAUUACUAGUUUUGUAUUAAGGAUUGGACUGGUAAUGGGUAUUUGCUUGACUGCAAUUCUGGGUGCAUCGUUUGGAUCUCUAGCUACCAUUUUUACUCAGGAUUCUGAAGUCUUGCAGGUGGUGAGAUCAUUAGUGUUGUUUGUCAGUGUUUCUCAACCAUUUAAUGCACUGGCAUAUAUUUUUGACGGUCUCCAUUAUGGUGUUUCUGAUUUCCGAUAUGCUGCUUUCUCCAUGAUGUUUGUGGGAGCAGUCUCCUCUGCAUUCUUGUUGUUUGCACCUCCACUUUUUGGCCUCCAGGGCGUAUGGCUAGGCUUAGUUCUCUUCAUGGCUCUUCGUUCAGUAGCUGGCGCUGUCAGAUGUCUCUCAAAGAAUGGUCCUUGGUGGUUUCUACACAGGGAUUUACAAAUAGUAUAGAGAAAAAAAUUUCCUUGAUGGAGUGUAUUAAAAGCUAGUACAACAAAGUGUGAGCAAGCUAGUAUUGUUUUCGGGAUGUAUGUUAAGGACUUCGUCAUUCCACAAGUUGUGUGGUUCAAGAUUAUUGGAUCUAGCUUUCAAAGUUAUGAAAAGUUGCAGAGGUUGAAAGUAAAUUGCAAAGUGUACGAGGAUGUCGAUAUAGCCUAUUGUUCCGUUUCAUAAUGUCACCGGAAAGAGCGAAAGAUAAUAUUAGACAGCAUGAUCCUGGCAGUAUGCCCAUUUAUGAAGCGUUAAAUUUUGCAUCUUUGCGGUCUCAUAAAUGGAGGAUGUGGAUGAAACACUAGAUUUGACAUUUGAAGACUAAUUUUUCCGUCAGUGACUUGGUCUUUUUCGUCGUUCCCGUGUAGAGAUAGGCAAUUUUAGAAUCAUUUUCUAGGUUAUCGCUAUGAAAUUAGUCAUAAAUAUAUAUAUGAAAACUCUCUGUUAAGCACAUUUUUCACAAUCUUUUUUA